CCCUGGGGCAUAAAAUUGAGCCUAAAUACCUGAUCUCAUCUGAUGUCACAAACUAAGCAAAACUGGGCCUGUUUAAAACCUGGGUAGGAAAGCACUUGGGAAUAAUGGGUGCCAUAGGAC
RNAcentral lists this ribosomal RNA (120 nucleotides) under Chinchilla lanigera (long-tailed chinchilla). The record is from RNAcentral. Lineage: Eukaryota; Metazoa; Chordata; Mammalia; Rodentia; Chinchillidae.